ACGAACCGUGCGAACGUUGUUCGGAUUCACUGGGCUUAAAGGGCGCGUAGGCGGCUGCUCAAGUCGGGGGUGAAAUCUUGCCGCUUAACGGCAAAAGAGCUUUCGAUACUGGGCGGCUGGAGGGAGGUAGGGGUGCGCGGAACUUCCGGUGGAGCGGUGAAAUGCGUAGAUAUCGGAAGGAACGCCGGUGGCGAAAGCGGCGCACUGGACCUCCACUGACGCUGAGGCGCGAAAGCCAGGGGAGCAAACGGGA
This 253-nucleotide ribosomal RNA is filed under the name uncultured prokaryote. RNAcentral's name for it is "partial 16S ribosomal RNA". It matches the Rfam family "Bacterial small subunit ribosomal RNA", at positions 525 to 777 of the family's 1533-position model. The record is from RNAcentral.